CGGCAAGGCAGUUUGGCAAGGAAGCGAAGGAAGGAAACGAAAAUGUUGACUGGCAGUUAAUGGAAAAGUUUUGGUUGUGGUCAGCUAGCUGCACAAGCUGUAUCUAGCUACCCUUGUUGUCUGUUUUUCAUCAGAGAUGUCUAAAUAUUGCCAUGACCAGAAAUUACUUUGCAGAAAAGCUAUCAUCGUCACGAACUACC
This is a long non-coding RNA of Hydractinia symbiolongicarpus, 200 nucleotides long. RefSeq lists it as uncharacterized. Lineage: Eukaryota; Metazoa; Cnidaria; Hydrozoa; Anthoathecata; Hydractiniidae. The record is from RefSeq and is a predicted model, not a curated record. The transcript is spliced from 2 exons.